UAUGUGAUCGUCUCUCGCAUAUCAAUAAGCGGAGGAAAAGAAACUAACAAGGAUUCCCCUAGUAACGGCGAGUGAAGCGGGAAGAGCUCAAAUUUGAAAUCUUAAAGGGUUUCCCUUUACGAAUUGUAGUUUAAAGAAGUGUUUUCUGUUGAGGUUUUGGUAAAAGUUCUUUGGAAUAGGACAUCAUAGAGGGUGAGAAUCCCGUAUUUGACCUUUACUUUCAGCUUUGUGAUACACUUUCAAAGAGUCGGAUUGUUUGGGAAUGCAGUCCAAAAUGGGUGGUAAAUUUCAUCUAAAGCUAAAUAUUGGCGAGAGACCGAUAGCGAACAAGUACCGUGAGGGAAAGAUGAAAAGAACUUUGAAAAGAGAGUUAAACAGUACGUGAAAUUGUCAAAAGGGAAGCGUUUGACACCAGUGUUGUUUUUCUGAAAAUCAAUUAAAGAACUGUUUAUGCUAAGCUGUUUAGACUUUAUCAGCUAAUCUGCUUAGUUUUGAGCUUUUCUUUAAUGCACUUUUCAGUUAACAAGUCAACAUCAAUUUCUUUUGCUGUAAAAAAGCUUGAGGAAGGGUGGCUUGAGAUUCGUCUUAAGUGUUUAUAGCCUCUUGCCUAUGCAGUCGGAGAGAUUGAGGUCUGCAGCGUAGAUCCUUCGGGGCUAAAUGCAUUUGUGCUAAGUUAUAGCAUUUUAUAGACAACUUGUUGACUAUGAUUUGUCUUGUAGCUUACUCGCUUAUGUUAUUUUACCUACGCUUAGGAUGUUGAAGAUAUGCGCGACACG
Molecule: ribosomal RNA, 776 nt
Filed under: uncultured Neocallimastigales
Lineage: Eukaryota; Fungi; Neocallimastigomycota; Neocallimastigomycetes; Neocallimastigales
Description: partial large subunit ribosomal RNA
Rfam family: Eukaryotic large subunit ribosomal RNA
Source: RNAcentral